CGUUUGCAUUAAGAGACGGUUUCAGUACCGGUCCAACCGAGCCACCAUAAUGGCCACGGUGGGAAAAUUGAUGCGAAUUAGUAAACGAAUGUCUAACUAAUUAAAAAUAUUCUA
RNAcentral lists this non-coding RNA (114 nucleotides) under Prevotella sp. RNAcentral describes it as "SAM-I-IV sequence". The stretch from base 1 to 98 matches the Rfam family "SAM-I/IV (S-adenosyl methionine) riboswitch aptamer". Rfam says of the family: It is found upstream of a number of genes which code for proteins involved in methionine or cysteine biosynthesis. It has been found mostly in the order Actinomycetales. Lineage: Bacteria; Pseudomonadati; Bacteroidota; Bacteroidia; Bacteroidales; Prevotellaceae. RNAcentral also lists the same sequence under 1 other name. The record is from RNAcentral.